Molecule: long non-coding RNA, 1038 nt
Filed under: Phoenix dactylifera (date palm)
Lineage: Eukaryota; Viridiplantae; Streptophyta; Magnoliopsida; Arecales; Arecaceae
Description: long non-coding RNA (PDAC_LNC001692)
Source: RNAcentral
CCCAUCGGUACGGUAUCGGUUCGGCACCGGUACCGUACCAUUACCGGAGCCGACCGGUACGUCGGUACCAUCGGUACCGCGAACCUUGAUUAUUUGUAUGCAAAAUGCCAUGCAUGGAUAUUAAAACAAAAAUACUAAAACAAGGUAUUCAUUCCUUAUCUCAUUCUUGAUUAUAUCGCGAUGGAAGGAUCUCUUUUUUCAUUUUUUGCAAAUAACUAUUAAAUUUUUCAUACAUAAUAUGAUUAAUAGAUUCAAUGGAUUUAGGUAAUGAUUACUCAUUUGAUAUGUCAAUACAUAAGCACCUGCUCCAUUGAGUCAAUAGAGAGAUUCCAUCUACCGACACAAGUUAGUCAACUCCAUUGAGUCUCUGCACCUGCUCUUUCCUUUUAUUCUAGUUUUAUAAACCCUUGCUUUGUCAAAACAAAGUUUUGGCUCAAGACAUCAUACAUAUGUGCAUAUACAAAACAGCCAGAUAAUUAAUCCAUCCAUCACUAUUACAGCUGAGGUUAGUAAACCAGAAAAAGUCAGAAUUUCACCUGAGGGUAGAAAGGAUGAGCAUUAUGCUUCAGUUUAUCCAAGAGUCCUAGAAGAAUUGGAGCCUACAAUAAUAUGACAAAGUCAUGAUAUUAAUCCCAGCACUAGCCAUAUAGCUUAUAUGGAUGUCCGAUCAAACAAAAACAAAUAAUGAAACUAGUCACAUUUAUAAAUUAAAAAACUCAGUAAAACAUGUCAGGAACCUUCUUUGGCUCACAAGGCUUGAUAGAUUCUUUUCUAAUUUCAUUCAGUACGAUAUAUGCCUUCACUAAGUUCAGGAAAAGUAUUCAGUUCUCAUUCCAUACGUUAAAAGAAAAUGAACAAGGUAUUGCCAUAUGUCCACCCUUGAGCAACUUGCUGAAGAUAUAAAAAGAAUCAAAUUCUCAACAAAUAUUAUACUCCACAAUGAUUGAAAUCACUGAUACUUCAAGUAAAAUUAAAAUUGUUAAUAUUCACUCUCUCUUGUGGUAUUGGUAACUUCAAUCAUUAAAAAUUCAGCAUNNN